RNAcentral lists this transfer RNA (69 nucleotides) under Laotzeus sp. BMNH 846624. Its description in RNAcentral is "tRNA-Met". It matches the Rfam family "tRNA". From Rfam's summary of the family: Transfer RNA (tRNA) molecules are approximately 80 nucleotides in length. Their secondary structure includes four short double-helical elements and three loops (D, anti-codon, and T loops). Further hydrogen bonds mediate the characteristic L-shaped molecular structure. tRNAs have two regions of fundamental functional importance: the anti-codon, which is responsible for specific mRNA codon recognition, and the 3' end, to which the tRNAs corresponding amino acid is attached (by aminoacyl-tRNA synthetases). tRNAs cope with the degeneracy of the genetic code in two manners: having more than one tRNA (with a specific anti-codon) for a particular amino acid; and 'wobble' base-pairing, i.e. permitting non-standard base-pairing at the 3rd anti-codon position. Lineage: Eukaryota; Metazoa; Arthropoda; Insecta; Coleoptera; Chrysomelidae. The record is from RNAcentral.
AAAAAGAUAAGCUAAUAAAGCUAAUGGGUUCAUACCCCGUUUAUAAAGGUUAUAGUCCUUUUCUUAUUA